This 142-nucleotide ribosomal RNA is filed under the name uncultured eukaryote. Its description in RNAcentral is "partial 18S ribosomal RNA". It matches the Rfam family "Eukaryotic small subunit ribosomal RNA", at positions 1299 to 1458 of the family's 1831-position model. The record is from RNAcentral.
UGGUGGAGUGAUUUGUCUGGUUAAUUCCGUUAACGAACGAGACCCCUGCCUGCUAAAUAGCCCGUAUAGUGCCUGUCACUGUAUUGGUGCUUCUUAGAGGGACGUGCAUUCUAUUAGAUGCAGGAAGAUAGGGGCAAUAACA